GGUGUAGCUCAGUGGUGGAGCACUUGCCUAAUGUAUGAAGUCCUGGGUUCCAUCCCCAGCAUC
This 63-nucleotide transfer RNA is filed under the name Marmota marmota marmota (Alpine marmot). It matches the Rfam family "tRNA". From Rfam's summary of the family: Transfer RNA (tRNA) molecules are approximately 80 nucleotides in length. The record is from Rfam by way of RNAcentral. RNAcentral also lists the same sequence under 2 other names. Lineage: Eukaryota; Metazoa; Chordata; Mammalia; Rodentia; Sciuridae.